RNAcentral lists this ribosomal RNA (461 nucleotides) under uncultured bacterium. Its description in RNAcentral is "partial 16S ribosomal RNA". It matches the Rfam family "Bacterial small subunit ribosomal RNA", at positions 338 to 795 of the family's 1533-position model. The record is from RNAcentral.
CCUACGGGAGGCUGCAGUGAGGAAUAUUGGUCAAUGGGCGAGAGCCUGAACCAGCCAAGUCGCGUGAAGGAUGACGGCCCUACGGGUUGUAAACUUCUUUUGUCAGGGAGUAAUUGAGUCCACGUGUGGGCUUAGCGAGAGUAUCUGAAGAAAAAGCAUCGGCUAACUCCGUGCCAGCAGCCGCGGUAAUACGUAGGGGGCAAGCGUUAUCCGGAAUCACUGGGUGUAAAGGGAGCGUAGACGGCUGAGCAAGCCUGAAGUGAAAGUCUGGGGCCCAACCCCUGAACUGCUUUGGGAACUGGACGGCUGGAGUGCAGGAGAGGUAAGUGGAAUUCCUAGUGUAGCGGUGAAAUGCGUAGAUAUUAGGAGGAACACCAGUGGCGAAGGCGGCUUACUGGACUGUAACUGACGUUGAGGCUCGAAAGCGUGGGGAGCAAACAGGAUUAGAUACCCCUGUAGUC